Molecule: ribosomal RNA, 254 nt
Filed under: uncultured bacterium
Lineage: Bacteria
Description: partial 16S ribosomal RNA
Rfam family: Bacterial small subunit ribosomal RNA
Source: RNAcentral
UACGUAGGGGCCUAGCGUUGUCCGGAUUUAUUGGGCGUAAAGAGCUCGUAGGCGGUUUGGUGAGUCGGGUGUGAAAUCUCCACGCUCAACGUGGAGGAGCCACCCGAUACUGCCAUGACUAGAGUCCGGUAGGGGAGUGUGGAAUUCCCGGUGUAGCGGUGAAAUGCGCAGAUAUCGGGAGGAACACCAGUAGCGAAGGCGGGUCUCUGGGCCGAUACUGACGCUGAGGAGCGAAAGCGUGGGGAGCAAACAGG